This 409-nucleotide ribosomal RNA is filed under the name uncultured microorganism. RNAcentral describes it as "bacterial SSU rRNA". It matches the Rfam family "Bacterial small subunit ribosomal RNA", at positions 9 to 417 of the family's 1533-position model. The record is from RNAcentral.
GAGUUUGAUCCUGGCUCAGAUUGAACGCUGGCGGCAUGCCUUACACAUGCAAGUCGAACGGCAGCAUGAUCUAGCUUGCUAGAUUGAUGGCGAGUGGCGAACGGGUGAGUAAUACAUCGGAACGUGCCCUGUAGUGGGGAUAACUAGUCGAAAGAUUAGCUAAUACCGCAUACGACCUGAGGGUGAAAGUGGGGGACCGCAAGGCCUCAUGCUAUAGGAGCGGCCGAUGUCUGAUUAGCUAGUUGGUGGGUAAAGGCCCACCAAGGCGACGAUCAGUAGCUGGUCUGAGAGGACGAUCAGCCACACUGGGACUGAGACACGGCCCAGACUCCUACGGGAGGCAGCAGUGGGAAUUUUGGACAAUGGGCGAAAGCCUGAUCCAGCAAUGCCGCGUGUGUGAAGAAGGCCU